GAUGAACGCUGGCGGCGUGCCUAAUACAUGCAAGUCGAGCGAACGGACGAGAAGCUUGCUUCUCUGAUGUUAGCGGCGGACGGGUGAGUAACACGUGGAUAACCUACCUAUAAGACUGGGAUAACUUCGGGAAACCGGAGCUAAUACCGGAUAAUAUUUUGAACCGCAUGGUUCAAAAGUGAAAGACGGUCUUGCUGUCACUUAUAGAUGGAUCCGCGCUGCAUUAGCUAGUUGGUAAGGUAACGGCUUACCAAGGCAACGAUGCAUAGCCGACCUGAGAGGGUGAUCGGCCACACUGGAACUGAGACACGGAUCAGACUCCUACGGGAGGCAGCGGUAGGGAAUCUUCCGCAAUGGGCGAAAGCCUGACGGAGCAACGCCGCGUGAGUGAUGAGGGUCUUCGGAUCGUAAAACUCUGUUAUUAGGGAAGAACAUAUGUGUAAGUAACUGUGCACAUCUUGACGGUACCUAAUCAGAAAGCCACGGCUAACUACGUG
Molecule: ribosomal RNA, 497 nt
Filed under: uncultured bacterium
Lineage: Bacteria
Description: partial 16S ribosomal RNA
Rfam family: Bacterial small subunit ribosomal RNA
Source: RNAcentral